UAGGGAAUCUUCCGCAAUGGGCGAAAGCCUGACGGAGCAACGCCGCGUGAGUGAUGAAGGUCUUCGGAUCGUAAAACUCUGUUAUUAGGGAAGAACAAAUGUGUAAGUAACUAUGCACGUCUUGACGGUACCUAAUCAGAAAGCCACGGCUAACUACGUGCCAGCAGCCGCGGUAAUACGUAGGUGGCAAGCGUUAUCCGGAAUUAUUGGGCGUAAAGCGCGCGUAGGCGGUUUUUUAAGUCAGAUGUGAAAGCCCACGGCUCAACCGUGGAGGGUCAUUGGAAACUGGAAAACUUGAGUGCAGAAGAGGAAAGUGGAAUUCCAGGUGGAGCGGUGAAAUGCGCAGAGAUAUGGAGGAACACCAGUGGCGAAGGCGACUUUCUGGUCUGUAACUGACGCUGAUGUGCGAAAGCGGGGGGAUCAAACAGG
This 429-nucleotide ribosomal RNA is filed under the name Actinomycetes bacterium. RNAcentral describes it as "Actinobacteria bacterium partial 16S ribosomal RNA". It matches the Rfam family "Bacterial small subunit ribosomal RNA", at positions 355 to 776 of the family's 1533-position model. Lineage: Bacteria; Bacillati; Actinomycetota; Actinomycetes. The record is from RNAcentral.